GAUCUUGGUCAGAACGAACGCUGGCGGCGCGUUUAAGCAUGCAAGUCGAGCGGCAAGGGCCUUCGGGCCCCUAGAGCGGCGGACGGGUGGGUAACACGUGGACAAUCUGCCCCCGGCCCGGGAUAGCCCAGGGAAACCUGGAUUAAUACCGGAUGAGACGGGACCCGCGAAGGCGGGACCCGGGAAAGGCGCUGCGGCGCCGCCGGGGGAUGAGUCUGCGUCCCAUUAGCUAGACGGCGGGGUAACGGCCCACCGUGGCGACGAUGGGUAGCCGGCCUGAGAGGGUGGACGGCCACAUUGGAACUGAGACACGGUCCAGACUCCUACGGGAGGCAGCAGCUAAGAAUCUUCCGCAAUGGGCGAAAGCCUGACGGAAGCGACGCCGCGUGAACGAAGAAGGCCGUGAGGUUGUAAAGUUCUUUUCGGGAGGGGGAACAACCGUGGCAGGGAAUGGCCGCGGGAUGACGUGAAUCCCGGAAUAAGCCCCGGCUAACUACGUGCCAGCCGCCGC
Molecule: ribosomal RNA, 511 nt
Filed under: uncultured bacterium
Lineage: Bacteria
Description: bacterial SSU rRNA
Rfam family: Bacterial small subunit ribosomal RNA
Source: RNAcentral